This 269-nucleotide ribosomal RNA is filed under the name uncultured bacterium. Its description in RNAcentral is "partial 16S ribosomal RNA". It matches the Rfam family "Bacterial small subunit ribosomal RNA", at positions 524 to 794 of the family's 1533-position model. The record is from RNAcentral.
GACGGGGGGGCGAAGUGUUCUUCGGAAUGACUGGGCGUAAAGGGCACGUAGGCGGUGAAUCGGGUUGAAAGUGAAAGUCGCCAAAAACUAGGUGGAAUGCUCUCGAAACCAAUUCACUUGAGUGAGACAGAGGAGAGUGGAAUUUCGUGUGUAGGGUGAAAUCCGCAAAUCUACGAAGGAACGCCAAAAGCGAGGGCAGCUCUCUGGGUCCCUACCGACGCUGGAGUGCGAAAGCAUGGGGAGCGAACGGGAUUAGAUACCCGCGUAGU